Molecule: transfer RNA, 77 nt
Filed under: Actinomycetes bacterium
Lineage: Bacteria; Bacillati; Actinomycetota; Actinomycetes
Also listed under: 1 other name
Description: tRNA-OTHER
Source: RNAcentral
GUGGUUUAAUAUGAGAAAUCCGGGUGAAUAGUAUUCCUAAUCCCUGUGCGUAGGUUCGAAUCCUACCGGGGGCACCA